ACAUCCAGAGAACUUUCCAGAGAUGGAUUGGUGCCUUCGGGAACUCUGAGACAGGUGCUGCAUGGCUGUCGUCAGCCCGUGUUGUGAAAUGUUGGGUUAAGUCCCGCAACGAGCGCAACCCUUAUCCUUUGUUGCCAGCGGUCCGGCCGGGAACUCAAAGGAGACUGCCAGUGAUAAACUGGAGGAAGGUGGGGAUGACGUCAAGUCAUCAUGGCCCUUACGAGUAGGGCUACACACGUGCUACAAUGGCGCAUACAAAGAGAAGCGACCUCGCGAGAGCAAGCGGACCUCAUAAAGUGCGUCGUAGUCCGGAUUGGAGUCUGCAACUCGACUCCAUGAAGUCGGAAUCGCUAGUAAUCGUAGAUCAGAAUGCUACGGUGAAUACGUUCCCGGGCCUUGUACACACCGCCCGUCACACCAUGGGAGUGGGUUGCAAAAGAAGUAGGUAGCUUAACCUUCGGGAGGGCGCUUACCACUUUGUGAUUCAUGACUGGGGUGAAGUCGUAACAAGGUAGGCGUAGUGCU
RNAcentral lists this ribosomal RNA (525 nucleotides) under uncultured bacterium. Its description in RNAcentral is "bacterial SSU rRNA". It matches the Rfam family "Bacterial small subunit ribosomal RNA", at positions 984 to 1509 of the family's 1533-position model. The record is from RNAcentral.